This 244-nucleotide long non-coding RNA is filed under the name Nicotiana benthamiana. RNAcentral's name for it is "long non-coding RNA (NBEN_LNC011487)". The record is from RNAcentral. Lineage: Eukaryota; Viridiplantae; Streptophyta; Magnoliopsida; Solanales; Solanaceae.
UUCGAGCCCCUUAGCACUCUCAAAUUCAUGCGGCAAGUCAAAAACCUUGAGUUUGUGUGGAAUUUUCUUGUCACACAGGACACCUGAAGCAAGCCUCCACUUUGACCACCCCGCUCUUAUCCGAUGGGUAACGUCCCCGUCAAUCUCUCCGUCCCCCUGAAUCACAGACCCAAGAUAUCCGACACUGUCUCUCUUGGCGAUGGCCUGAGAACCAAGCAUCACUUCCCUGCCUACCCCACUCGGN